UUUGAUCGAUGUAUGGCUGAACGG
Molecule: microRNA, 24 nt
Filed under: Brachypodium distachyon (stiff brome)
Lineage: Eukaryota; Viridiplantae; Streptophyta; Magnoliopsida; Poales; Poaceae
Description: bdi-miR7707-3p
Source: miRBase by way of RNAcentral